AGCAGCCGCGGUAAUUCCAGCUCCAAUAGCGUAUAUUAAAGUUGUUGCAGUUAAAAAGCUCGUAGUUGAAUUUCGGGAUCAAUACGUCGGUCGUGCUUCGGUACGUACUGGCGUAAUUGAUUUCUCCCUUCUGACGAACCAUGAUGUCAUUAACUUGGUGUCAUGGGAAAUCAGGACUGUUACUUUGAAAAAAUUGAGUGUUUAAAGCAGGCUCACGCUUGAAUACAUUAGCAUGGAAUAAUGAAAUAGGACGUUCGAUCCUAUUUUGUUGGUUUCUAGGAUUGACGUAAUGAUUAAUAGGGAUAGUUGGGGGCAUUAGUAUUCAAUUGUCAGAGGUGAAAUUCUUGGAUUUAUUGAAGACUAACUACUGCGAAAGCAUUUGCCAAGGAUGUUUU
This 395-nucleotide ribosomal RNA is filed under the name uncultured Glomeromycotina. RNAcentral's name for it is "SSU rRNA". It matches the Rfam family "Eukaryotic small subunit ribosomal RNA", at positions 569 to 970 of the family's 1831-position model. Lineage: Eukaryota; Fungi; Glomeromycota. The record is from RNAcentral.